AGUUAAUUAGUUUAAAUACAAUUAUAUCUUGAAAAUAUAAAAAAGAAUUAAUUUUCUAUUAACUU
RNAcentral lists this transfer RNA (65 nucleotides) under Symplana lii. RNAcentral's name for it is "tRNA-Ser". The record is from RNAcentral. Lineage: Eukaryota; Metazoa; Arthropoda; Insecta; Hemiptera; Lophopidae.